GACGAACGCUGGCGGCGUGCUUAACACAUGCAAGUCGAACGGAAAGGCCCUGCUUUUGUGGGGUGCUCGAGUGGCGAACGGGUGUGUAACACGUGUGUAACCUGCCCUUGACUUUGGGAUAACUUCAGGAAACUGGGGCUAAUACCGGAUAGGAUCUCCUGCUGCAUGGUGGGGGUUGGUAAGUUUCGGCGGUUGGGGAUGGACUCGCGGGUUAUCAGCUUGUUGGUGGGGUAGUGGCUUACCAAGGCUUUGACGGGUAGCCGACCUGUGAGGGUGACCGGCGACAAUGGGACUGAGAUACGGAGCAGACGGGAACGGGAGGCAGCAGGGGGGAAUAUUGCAGAAUGGGGGGAAGCCUGAUGCAGAAACGCCGCGUGCGGGAUGACGGCCUACGGGUUGUAAACAGAUGUGGACUGAGACGAAGAGUGAGUGACGGUAAUGGGUAAAGAAGCACCGGCUAACUACGUG
RNAcentral lists this ribosomal RNA (468 nucleotides) under uncultured bacterium. RNAcentral describes it as "partial 16S ribosomal RNA". It matches the Rfam family "Bacterial small subunit ribosomal RNA", at positions 28 to 507 of the family's 1533-position model. The record is from RNAcentral.